Suricata suricatta (meerkat) is the source of this 11378-nucleotide RNA transcript. It is a transcript of the gene named chondroitin sulfate N-acetylgalactosaminyltransferase 2, with no coding region annotated. Lineage: Eukaryota; Metazoa; Chordata; Mammalia; Carnivora; Herpestidae. The record is from RefSeq and is a predicted model, not a curated record. The transcript is spliced from 12 exons.
AAGUGGUGGUUGGCUGCGCGGCGGCGUGCGGUGGGCUGUGAGGUACGCGGGGCGCUGCCGGGGUAUGUCCGCUGCCGGGGUGGAGGCAGCGGGGCAGCCGUCCCCUUGCGAGGAGUGAGGAGCGCGAAAAAUCACCACACAUAUAAUGGAAUUUUAUCUGAUUCUGUAGAUCAGAUUUCUUUAUUCUGGAUGUCAUGGUAACAAUACAGGAAGUAUGCACUAUUCCUCAUUUCUGCAAGUAGUCUUCACUGCUGACAGAAGAAAUUUUUUAAGCUAUAGCAGAAUUCAUUUUGGUAUCUUCAAUGGAAAUCUUGAUUUUGUUUUUAAUUUUUGAUAACCUUUUCUAAAGGUAUGAACAACCAAAGAACUUACCUCAUUAGGCAAGUCCACAUGAAUAAGAAUGCCUAGAAGAGGAUUGAUUCUUCAGACCCGGACCCACUGGCUGUUGUUGGGUCUUGUUUUACUCUGCAGUUUGGUAUUAUUUUUAUACCUUCUGGAAUGCGCCCCCCAGACUGAUGGAAAUGCACCUCUUCCUGGUGUUAUUGGGGAAAAUUAUGGUAAAGAGUAUUAUCAAGCCCUCCUACAGGAGCAAGAAGAACAUUAUCAAACCAGGGCUACCAGUCUGAAACGCCAAAUAGCCCAACUAAAACAAGAAUUACAAGAAAUGAGUGAGAAGAUGAGAUCAUUGCAAGAGAGAAAGAAUGUAGGGGCUAAUGGCAUAGGCUAUCAAGGCAACAAAGAACAAACACCCAGUGAUCUUUUAGAGUUUCUUCAUUCCCAAAUUGAUAAAGCUGAAGUUAGCAUAGGAGCCAAACUACCUAGUGAGUAUGGAGUCAUUCCUUUUGAAAGUUUUACUUUGAUGAAAGUAUUCCAGUUGGAAAUGGGUCUCACUCGCCAUCCCGAGGAAAAGCCAGUUAGAAAAGACAAGAGAGAUGAAUUGGUAGAAGUUAUUGAAGCUGGCUUAGAGGUUAUUAAUAAUCCCGAUGAAGAUGAUGAACAGGAAGAUGAGGACAGUCCCCUUGGAGAGAAAAUGAUAUUUAAUGAAAAUGACUUCGUAGAAGGUUAUUAUCGCACCGAGAGAGAUAAGGGCACACAGUAUGAACUGUUUUUUAAGAAAGCAGACCUUAUGGAAUAUAGACAUGUGACCCUCUUCCGCCCUUUCGGACCUCUCAUGAAAGUGAAGAGCGAGAUGAUUGACAUUACUAGAUCAAUUAUUAAUAUCAUUGUGCCACUUGCUGAAAGAACAGAAGCAUUUGCACAGUUUAUGCAGAACUUCAGGGAUGUGUGUAUUCAUCAGGACAAGAGAAUUCAUCUCACAGUGGUGUAUUUUGGUAAAGAAGGACUAUCUAAAGUCAAGUCUAUCCUAGAGUCUGUCACAAGUGAGUCUAAUUUUCACAAUUAUACUUUGAUCUCAUUGAAUGAAGAAUUUAAUCGUGGACAAGGACUAAAUGUGGGUGCCCGAGCUUGGGACAAGGGAGAGGUCUUGAUGUUUUUCUGUGAUGUUGAUAUAUAUUUCUCAGCCGAAUUCCUUAACAGCUGCCGGUUAAAUGCUGAGCCAGGUAAGAAGGUGUUUUACCCUGUGGUGUUCAGUCUUUACAACCCUGCCAUUGUUUAUGCCAGUCAGGAUGUGCCACCACCUGUGGAGCAGCAGCUGGUCCACAAAAAGGAUUCUGGCUUUUGGAGAGAUUUUGGCUUUGGAAUGACUUGUCAAUAUCGAUCAGAUUUCUUAACCAUUGGUGGAUUCGACAUGGAAGUAAAAGGUUGGGGUGGAGAAGAUGUUCAUCUUUAUCGAAAAUACUUACAUGGUGACCUGAUUGUGAUUCGGACUCCAGUUCCUGGUCUUUUCCACCUCUGGCAUGAGAAACGCUGUGCAGAUGAGUUGACCCCCGAGCAAUACCGUAUGUGCAUCCAGUCUAAAGCCAUGAACGAGGCCUCUCACUCACACCUGGGGAUGCUGGUCUUCAGGGAGGAGAUAGAGACCCAUCUUCACAAACAGGCAUACAGGACAAAUAGUGAAGCUGUUGGCUAAUCAUUGGCAUACUAGUCUGAACCACAAACCAGCACUGUUUUUUUAGCCUUAAUUCCAAUUGCAGAUGCAGUGCCUGUUUCAGAGAAGACAUGCUGUGUUUCGUGUUCUUUCUGGCUUUACUUUACUUUAGCAGUUUAACUUGAUAUGAGAAGAAAAAGCAGUGUUUCAGUGCAAACCCUGUUUUGUGAAAAUACUGCAUUUUUGGAAUUGCUGACAAAUCAGAAAUCUGGUGUUUGCCCCAAAAGUAGUUUUAAGUUAGUUUCUACCCCGCACUCAUCCUGAUGUGCCUGGUUGCAUCUGGGUCGAGGGAUGGAGUGUGUUGUGCUCAGGGUGGGUCAGGAGCAUCCGGGCCUGCAGAGGAGACAGAGUGUUGUGGAUGGAUUGUGUUGACAAGGGUUCUUCACCUGCUGACCACGGAGUCAACCUGCUUUUAAAUUAAGAUCUUUAGUCAGUUGCUUGAAGAAUCCUUUUUCACUGAAGCAGAGGAUGACUAAAUGACACAUCUGAAAUUCACAAUCAAUCAAAAGAAAUCAGAAAUAAAAAACCCUUAAUGUUGCUUAGCUCCCUGAAUAUUUGGUAUUAAACAAAUGAGUAAUAGUAGAAAAUACUUCGGUUAGAAUCUAUGACUUGAUUAGAACUAUAAUGUGUUCUCAUGUUCUGGAUUAGUAGUCAAAGUUGCUAUAGAUUGUUUUAAGUAAACAAAUAAACAUGAAAAUGUCUUUACUAGAACAUUUACUUAUGUUGGAGAACAGGGCACUAGUGAUAUCUGGGAACAUCAGUUUACAUGAGCCAGGUGCUACUGGGGCCUUCCUAUAGUGGUUCAGAAUAGAUGAACAUAGCAUACUUUUGUGGUUUUUGCUUUGUAUUGCCUCAUUUAGCUUGAAUCCGCAUAUAUUUAUUAUCCUUUUUUUCCCUAAUAUGUUAAUAUAUGCUACACCUGUAUUUGUAAUAUUGUGAUACUUUGAGUUUAGAGUUUCAUGAAGGGAGAAAAACAGUUUAAUGAGGUAUAGUAUUGAUCACACUGAUUUGCAAAAAGAGGUGGAGGGGAAAGUGAUCUGAAUGGAAAUCUGAAUUACAGAAUAUUUUAGAGAAAUAUAUUGUUUGCAGAUAGAAUAAUGUUUUAAUUGAGGUAAAAAUUAUGUUAAUGAAACAAGAUGAAUAAGAAGUUAUAUUCAGAUAGGACUAUAUACUAUGUUAUUUAUCACACAUGAAUAUUUUGCCAGAGGGCCAAUUGCUGGAUCCAAAAAUUGGAGAUAUGGUGAAAGGCAUGCAUAGAUUUUGAUUUGGCUUUUUAAAAGGAUGUGUAUUGUAUCCUUCUAUGUGUAUAUAAGCCCCUAAUAAUUCACAGAAGAAAAGUCAUUACUUUUUACUCAGUAAAUCCUAUCAUCUGAAAUAUAAAUUCCAAAUUUCUUGGUGCUACAUGAAUUAAUUUUAUAGUAACUCUUAUGAAUUAUUCUUUCAAGUUUUAAGUUGGGUAGUUUAGGCUUUUUUUUUAAGAUGUGUAAAAUGUUCUCUGAAGAAUUAUGAGGCCAUUGUCUCCAUUUAUAUACAAUUAUUUAUUAUGAAGACCAGUGAAUUUUGGUAUUUAAAGUGAGAGAACCUAAUUACUUGCAAAGGUAAGUUGCAGCUUGUUUUUUGACAGAAUCAAGUGAUUUCACCUUUUCUCCGUUUUUUAAAAAAAGCUAGCUUUUAAUUUAAAAAUGGGAAGCUAAGCAAUGGAAACAUACUGUGUUUUUGACAUUAAAUGGUACCAAUAAAGUAUUUUAUUAUCAAAAGUUAAAUGAAAAUGUGAUAAAUUUUUUCUGUUGCAAAAUACCAUAAAUACAGAAAAGUAUGUAACAUAUAAUUAUGUGGUUUAAAGAAUAAUAAAGCAGCUACCAGGAGUGAGAUAAAGAACAUUAUCAGUGAAAGGCCUCUGUGUGCCCUUUCUUGAUUAUACACCCUCACCCCCUGUAAUAAUAGCCAUUCUGAUUUCUAUGAUAAAUUUUCACUUAUUUUACUUAAUUUUCCCAGUUAUAUAUGUAUCUCUACCCAAAAGACUGUUUAGUUUUGCCUGUUUCUGAAUUUAUGUGCAUAUUAUUUCAUUAUAUAUUCUCUUUUAUUCAGUAUUAUAUUUUUGAGGUUCAUUCAUGUUAAUCUCAAAAUUCAUUUUUAUUACUGACUGGUACUCCACUGUAUAAAUGUACUAAAUACUCAUUAACUCUGUUGUUUAAAGAUAUUUGGGCUGCUCAUAGUUUUUUGUUGUUUGCUUUUGCUAUCAGAAGCUGCAUUGUCAUGAACACUGCUUCACAUAUCUCUUAUAAUAAGUGUGCAAGAAUUUCUCUAGGAGUAAUAAUGCUGGGUCAUCAGUUGUGUGUACAUUCUGUUUCCAAAGUGGACCAUCUUCAGCACCGUCUUCAACCUAACUGGAAGAGCUUUUUGUAUAUGCUGUGAGAUAAAGAUUGUUCCCCAGCGUCACCUUACAAUAUAGUCCGUAUUUUACCCACUCAUCUGCAGAACCACUCAUCAGAUCUCCGUACGUUCAGAGGUCUUGUUCUGGGCUCUCUGUUCAAAUAGGCUUUCUGUCCAUCACCAUACCCUUACCUCAUGGUCUAAAUUACUAUAUCUUUAUAAGAAGUCAGUAUUUCUGAGAGCUAAUCCACUUGCCUUGUUCUUAACAACUGUCAUGGCUGUUUGUAGCCCUGGUACUUUCAGAUAAAUUUGAGAAUAAGCUAGUUAACUUUCACAAAACUUUCAUGAAUUUGACCAGAUUUAAGUGAAUCUAUAAGAUCACUUUGGGGAGAAUUUACAUCUUUGUGUACAGAGUCUUCCAGUCCUUGAACAUGACAUAUCUAUUUAGGUCUUUAUUGUCUUUCAAUUAAAUUCUAUACUUUUUCACAUAGAGGAUUUACAUGUAGUAUUUUAUAGAUUUUCCUAGAUACUUUACAUUUUUUAUGCCAUUGUAACUAUCAUUUUUCUUUUUUAUUGUCUAUUCCUGGUAUUUAAAAAUUCAGUUGAUUUUUGUGUUUGGCAAGCUUGCCAACCUUGUAUUUCUAGUUUCUUUCAUAGUUUUUCUGUUGUGCAAUCAUAUCUCUAUGAAAAGUAAACAUUUUCUUUUCAAUUUUUAUAUCUUUAUUUUCCUUGUCUUACUGUGCUUGCUGAGAUUUGUUGUGCAGUGUUGAGGUGAUAAUAGUGAACUUCCUGCCCGUGUUUCUGAUUUCAAGGGGAGUAGUCUCAGUGUUUCAUCAGUAACUAUGGUAUUUGCUGAAGGUAUUUUUAUAAAUACCCUUUAUCAAGUUAACAAAGUUACUUUAUAUUACUGCAUCUGUUGAGAAGAUAUUUUUUUUUCCAUCUUUGACAUAUUAAAUUGAGGUGUUUUUUGAAGUACCGUUGCAUUCCUUGGGUAAAUUCCAAUGUUUCAUGAUGUAUUAUCCUUAUUAUGCAUUGCAGGAUUCAUUUUAUUGUGUGUGUAUGUGCACACACACAGGCUUCAUUUGCAUAUCUGUGUAUAUAUUUGUGUGUGUGAGAGUGUUUAUGUGUGUAUAUAUUUCAGGUGUUUUUCAUCUGUGUUAAUGAGUUUUUAUUAAGGUUAUGCUAGCCUAUAAAGUAAGUUAGAUGUCUUCCUUCUUACUCUGUUCUAAAAAAAAGUUUUGUAAGACGGAAUUAUUUCUUUGAAUAUUUGGCAGAACUACCUGAAAGCCACAUAACCAUGAAGUUUUCCAUAUGGGAAGAUUUCUGUUCACAGAUUCUGUUUAUUUAAUGAUUAUAGAUCUAUUCAGAUUUUCUUUCUUUUAAAGUCAGUUUUGAUUAUGUUAUCUUAGAUAAGGUUUAGAAGAAUUUAGAAAUUCUUCUAGGAAUUUAUAGUGAUAAAUUUGAAAUUUUAGAUGAAAUAUACAAAGUUAUUUACAAUAUCCUCUUAUUAUCUCUGUAAUAUGUACAGGAUCUAUAAUGAUAACCUUUCUUUCAUUCCUGAUACUAUAUGUGCCUUUUGUUUUUCCUUGAUUAACCUUGCCAGAGGCUGACCAAUUUUUUCAGUUCUUUCAAAUAACUGCCUCCUGCCUGCCACAUGUGAGGAAUCCACUUGUUUAUUACCAAGGAAAUGAAAUCUUUUCAUGUGCUUAUUGGCCAUUUGAAGAUCUUCUUUGGUGAAAUACAUUGAUUGGUAGGAGUUACUUCUGUAUUCAGGAUGUGAGUCUUUUGUCAGAUUUAUGUAUUGCAAAUAUCUUUCUCUAGGCAGAGGACUGUUAUCAUUCUCUACUGUUAUCUGUUAAUAAACAAAAACUCUUAAUAAUGUCCAUUUUAUCAUUUUUCUUUCUUUUAUGGCCAGUGCUCUUGGUAUCCAAUUUAAGAAACUUUGCCUGCUCCAAAGUAAAGAAAAAAUGUUCCUGUUUUCUUUUAGAUGCUUUAUUAAGAUUGCCUAUAACUUCCCUUCUCAUCUUUGUUUGAGCCAUUCAUACUUAGAUCUAUGAUGCGUCUAGAAAUAUUUUUUGCAUAUAGUGUGGGAGUCAAGAGUCAAUCUUUAGAAUUUCUUUCAGUGAAGGUCUGCUGAUAGCAAACUCCAUUUUGGUUCAUAAAUAUCUUUUAUCUCAUUUAAAAAUAUUUUUUGAAGAGUAUAGAAUUCUAGGUUGGGUUUGUUUUUUUUGUUUUGUUUUUUAGUACAUUGAUGUUAUUCUACUGUCUUCUGGCUUCAGUUACUUCCCUUGUAAGUAAAUUAUCAGCUUAAGGUUGAUACUCCUUUGAAAGUAAUCAACCUUUUUCCCUGGCUGCCUUCAGGAUCUCCUCCUUAACUCUGUUCUGAAUCACUAGGAUAUAUGUGUGUUUGCAGGUUACUUUGGUUUUUUUUUUUUUCUGAUCCUGCUUGAGAUUCUUUAGGCUCCUUGGAUGUUUAUUAUCUUUUGUCAGUUCUGAGAGACUUUUAGCUAUUACAUUUCAUUUUCUCUACCUCAUUCUUUCUUUCAAAAGCUCUGAUAACAUGUUAGACCUAUUGUUCUAUUGUCCAUGCCCUUUAUAUCUCUUAACCUGUUUCAUAAUUUUCAGCUUACACUCAUAAUUUCUUCAGAAUUAUGACAUUUAGAGAAGAACCUCUAUUCAUUAAGAAAUGAAAACAAAUUUUAAAAUUCCAACAUUUUCUUAUAUUCUUGACAGCACUGUUUCUUCAACAUUGUUGCUUAAGAUCCAUACCUAAGAGUUUGGGGUUUGUUAGGAUAGGUAUUCAGGGGUGAGGGGGAUGGUAGCCCUUCACCUUCCUUACAGUAACAUGACUUCUUUCUGGGACUGAAAAUAGAAACUGUGUUGGUAUGAUCUCAGGUCACUAGCCUGUAUGUGGGUAAUAGGUUUUUCAUUUAGAAAGUGGUUCUGAAUCCCCAAUUUGUGGGAAUUUUCCCCAUAUAUGUCUAUAUACUGGUUAAAUUGAACAGAAAUGACUCUUCAGUAAUGUUAGAAUAUAUUUUAUAUUAACCAGAACUUCAGUUGUUCCUUUGAGAAGGUCACUUAUAAUUCUUGUUUGACUUUUCCCAGGAGAGUCUGCUCUGUGGGAGAAGUGGGGUUCAGUUUCAUCAGGAGUGCUGCUGCGAGUAUCCAGCUAACACUGACUGCUUCUAACGAACCAGCACUGCACCUUCUGCCAUGUAGCAUUACAACAGCCCCUUCAAAGAAGGGACAGAGAGUAUUGUAUGAGACAGAGAGUAUUGUAAAUUUAUCUUAAUUGUGAGAAAAUGGAGGCUUUAAAAGAUAAACAACUUUUCCAAGGAUGCCCUGCUGAGACCUGGAAACUAGGAUCCGAAUCCAAAUAGUUUAACUUUUGAUUCCUUGCUCUUAUGCUUUUCCUAUCUUGCCUUCCUGGGGAACAGGGCAUCUAUUUUAUAUACAAGUGUAAUAGGUGUAUGUUUCACAAGUAAUCUUAGUUUUGAUACAGAAGUCUCUGUGGCCUUAGGAGAGAUCCCUAGCUUAUUUCCUGUCACAUGAUGCUGUAACAUAGAUUUGUUCCAGAAAUGUGUGUGUGAAGUGAAAGUCAGUGUUCAGUCCUCAUAUGGUGGCAUUAGGAGCUGCAUACCGUGCUGAUCGCUGGCCACACAGUUACACAAGUGGCUCCUACUCGGAAAGCCAAGACUGGCGGGUGAGACAGAUGCCAGUGGUGUAAGGUAAGAAGGCAGAUGGGCCCAGAGGAGCACAGAGCAUCACUCACCAGAGAAGCUGUAAGCAGACUCUGGAAGAACGUGUGUGAGGACAGGACCACAGUACAUUAGAGGAGGUGCACUAGUGACAUGGAGGUUCCGUGUGUCUGCAAAGCGAGAGCGCACCUGUACCUGGGAGGUACAGGGCUGUAUCUGGCAGAGGUAGACUGUGAGCAUCAGCAGAAGAGCUUCCCAAACUUACUGGGCUCCCAACCCCCAUUUUUCCCCUUUAGUGGGGCCCUGCAUCAGCUUGAGCCAGUGUCCAGUGCUGCUAAUGCUGCUGUCAAAGAGCCACACCUUGAGAAGCAUGCCCUAGAGGGACCACUCUGUGAGUGAAGGAGCACCACAGCCAGCCGAGAGCUUGCCACCCACUCCCAGCUCAAGCUCCAUGGCCAAGGCACACACUGAAGGAUGUGCUGCCCCGUCUUCCACUGAGGGCCGAGGGCGACGUCUGCGUCGGAUUGUGGAGCCACCCCUUCCUGAGGCCUCACCUCCACGUCUCCAGGCUCUCCUAGGAGCUUUGGAAAUUAGCAACUACCUGACCCAUCUUCACUCGGGCAUCUCGGCUGCAGGCUCCUGGGAAGCCAGGCAUGCGGAGAGAAACAAAGUUAUAUACAAAAUGGACCCCAACCAGUGAGGCCUGCUCAUCUCAACCCUUAUCAAUCAAGGUUAAAACUCAGUGCAUGUGUGUGCUUCAUCCAGCAUCUGCAGGCUGCAUCCGUGCCUUCAGGCUCUGUUAAGGAGAGUCGUCCUAAAGGACCUUCACUUUCAAAGGAGGCGAUGAAGAGAGCUGAGAGAUGAGAAGCCCCUCAGAGCCCAUGUCUACAUGCAGUGAGUCUGCCUACCACACCAGUUGUCCCCUCCUUUCUAGGGCUGCAACUGGGCCUGUCCACAGGUCUCUGCUCCCUGGGGUUCUAGAGCUCCCAGCUUGGAGACUGAGAAGUCCUGGUUCUGCAGCACUAUCAGGAAGCUUCCAGAUUCCAGAGCCCCAUCUACCCACAGCCCACCCUCAUGUUCUCACCCCUGUGAGUUCAGCUUCCCCUGUAAUCAAGCCUGCCUCCCAGAGCAACCCCCCCAUGAGAGCAGAGGCCCUGGACGUGGGGGUCAGGGUGACAUAUACAGUGUGGGGAGGUGGGCCUCACCUUCCUCACUGUAGAUGGGUGCCGUGAGCAGGUAGUUCUGAAUCUUCUUGUCCUUCUCGAAGGGACACUCUACCUGAGUCCAUGUCAUGAAGUCAUGGAUCUGUCUGGAGAUUUCCCAAAAUUUCUGAAGGUACAGAAGACCAACUGGAUGUUCAUUUGUCACCUUAAGCUUAAAAUCCUUGGUUCAGGCAGGGGAUGUAGAUUCUGAUUUCAUUCUGUGACCCUGCUCAGCUGACUUUGUGGCCACAGCAGCACUUUAUGCAGCAUCAGAGCCAGUAAGUGUCCCCAAGAUCACUCGGUCCUCCACUUUGCCUAGCCCCGAGGCCACAGCAGGGUCUGUGCCUCCCCCAUGCAAGACCCUGGAGGCCCCAUCCGGGACUUCAGGCUGAGACAGGUAUGCCAGCCAUACCCAGCACAGCACUGUCAACAUGAACAUGCCAUGAUCUCAUUCCUGUGGAGCUGUAGGGGAAACGGGGCUGUCCAGUACUUCCCUCACACAGGUAAGGGGAGGAAGGAGUUAUGGAUUCUUACACAGGCCCCAGUCACCUUUGUCCUAGCUUCCCACCGUUGGCCAGCUACCCUUGUCUUCCAUCUGGAAUUCUGCUGCCUCCUCGAGCAUCUUCUUGCCUAAAGCCUUGCUCACUCCCAAACCCCCAGAAGUAGCCCCUUCUCUGCUCCCUGGUGGGUCAGUGUUGGGACCAGCGUCCUGGGUAAAUACAAGUUCCCUGUGGCUCCAAGCCCAGAAGGGAUGCAAACAGCACACAUAACUCACCACGGAGCUUUCGGUCAUAAAGGCCUUUCUGCAAAGGGCCAUCCUUUAUAGCUCUAGGGGCACAGAUUCUGCCUGCCCUAUGAUAAGGCUGAGAGGUCUGGCCCCCCUCCCCUCAGACCAGAAGGGUGCUGAGCUCACCUUGAAGUUAACAUGCCCAUUGGGCAAGUGGUUGGUAUGGAUUUUGUGAAGGAAGUAAAUGUCCUUAACGAAAAGGUUGAAUACAGGGAUAACAAUCUUCUCUCUGCUGCUGUUGGCCAUUUGGGACCUUUGCGUGGCCCCCUGCAGGGCAGUGCGGUAGUUGCAGAAGUUGCUGGAUGGGUCCAUGUGGUGCUGUGGGCAGACAGGAGGACCUGGUUUAGCAGUGUUCUCCCUGCACCCGACUUGCUCAGGAUGCCCCUUUGCAGAGCAGGAAACAGCGAUGAGGAAGGCACCAGAAGAGGCCUCCUUCCUGGGGGUGAGCACCUGGCUGAGUACUAGGUUUGGAUCCAAAGAGGAAGAAAGUUACAGAGAAGUCUCACAGCUCACACACUUCCUCUUCCCUGCCAAGCCUGGGUCUUACCUUCUUUCCUUUCAAAACCUUCCUUUGCUCCUUUCCUUGGACCAAUAAUCUCCCAAAGCUGAUGAGCUCCUUAAGACACUUUUGCAGAAAGUGGAUUCUGUGAUCAAAUAACUUCAGGGAAGGCUGCAGGUAAACAUACCCGCUCUUGGGCCACCCAGAUGAUCCAGAACCACAGCAAUUCAAGCCAGGAAAAAGCCAGUCUCUGCUUCGUCAGCAUCACCCAACGCCCCAGGGCCAACCUUUGUCGAACUCUUUCCUAACCACUCUAGUCAGAACUGGCAUUGCCUAAGGCAAGUUCUGCAAAGUCCCAGGGGCCAAGAAGAGCUGCAGCUACCCACCUCCUAGAGCAGCCAGGCCGGCUCAACAUGGCCUACACCAGAUGGCACUGUGGGCAGUGGGUUCUGAGCAAGGGGGCAGAGCGUGAUGGGAGGCCCACCCCUCCUCAGGCCAGUGUAGGACAAGGCUGAGGUGCCUACCUCCAAGACAUCAAACUUGGCCGUCUUGACUUUGGACCACGUUUUCUUUAGCCUCGCCACAGGACUGAGGUUCAUGCCAGCUGCAGGAAACAGUAGGUAGAGUCAGGGUGGGGUUAGGUAGGCCAGGCAAAAGCUGGAUAGGAAGCCCCCGGGGUCUGGCCACUCACAGAUGAUGGCCAUCAUGGAGUUGAAAUUCCCGAUGUUGAAGCACUCCCGGGCCACAUCAAUAAAGAACUCUAGCAUGCGGG